RNAcentral lists this long non-coding RNA (1561 nucleotides) under Monodelphis domestica (gray short-tailed opossum). RNAcentral's name for it is "lncRNA (ENSMODG00000040239.1)". Lineage: Eukaryota; Metazoa; Chordata; Mammalia; Didelphimorphia; Didelphidae. The record is from RNAcentral.
GCUAGAUAGAUGGGCUAGGGACCACAUGUGGCCUGUGGGCCAUAGUUUGGGAACUUCUGCUCUAAGGUCUUCUAAGUACAGAUCCAAACUUGAAAAGUAGAGGACAAGUUGUGAAUUUCCCAGCUCAAUGGAGGAUCAGGGAGACACAGUAGUCCCUGGUGAUAUGUUACAGACUAGAAGAUGCCCCUUCUUUCUUCCAUAAUCUCAAUAUGUAAAACUUCUCUUUCCUUCAGAUGGCCCAGAUAUUGCCACGAUUGCCCAUUCAGUAGAUGAGUACCCUAUUGGAGCAAAUAUUACCUUGAGCUGUUCUGCUGUUUCUAAUCCACCAGUCCAAUUCACUUGGUUGCACAACGGACAACCAGUCAGCAACUCAGCCACAUUUUCAUUUAUUGCAUCCAUGACUCUUUCUGGAACUUAUACCUGUAAUGCAGCCAACUCAUUGACUGGCUUGACACGCUCCGCAACCAAGAAUGUUAUAAUCUAUGAUGACAGAGAUCCAGAGAUCGAUGAUGAAGGUGAGACAACAGUCAAGUAAAGACAAAGACAUCUAGACCUGUGUUAACUUCAAUCAACACCAGAGGCUGGCAGAGACACAACUGGACAACCGGGAAGAACUUUAAAUCAAGGACAUUGUAGGAAAUGAACUUCCAUUAAAGGGACAUGUAAGAUUGAAUCACUGUACACAUUAACAUCACAUUUAGGGAAUUACAUCCACAUGCACUUACAAAUCUGCAUAAGAAGAAAAAAGGUGAUCAAUCCAUCAGGCAACACAAGAAUUAGAAAUCCAGGGGAUAAUGUGAGUAUAUGCAUUCAUCACCACAUAUUUAGCACACAAACCAUGAAUUCACACUGACCUUAAGGGUUGAUUCUUAAAUAAGGGCAGCCCACAAAAUUGAACAUUUGUAAAUAACUUUCUGGUAGAACUCUUGCAGAUAGGAAGGAAAAGACUUUCCUGUCUGAAUGACUUCAAACGGGAGUAUAUGUUUAAGUAUAAGUAUACAUACACACAUAUAUGUUGUAUCACAUGUAAUAUUUGUAGAGAAAUCAUAUGGGUACAUACGUAAAGACUAACAAUGUAAUCUACUAACUUAAAGUAAGAAAAGUAAUUAACACAUUAACUCCUAACAGACAGGGACAGAGUAGUUUUUAGGGAGGAAAAGGGACUUCUGUAACUAGAUAGUUAGCACAGAGACAGAACAUACUAUACUGUAAAAGAUAGAGGAGAGCAUAUAUCUAGAUAUGAUAAAAUUGUUACAUUUUAAUAAGCAUUAUAUAUAUGGCAUAAGACUGUUUAUUUUUACCCAAUAGUUAAAUGUUAUAUUGGUUGAAAUAGGAAUAAGCACUGUAUUUAUAGUUACAACUUAGCUAACUGAUGGAAUUGUUACAUUGCAUGAACCCUUAUAACAUGUGUUACCCCAACCCUCCUUCCCACAACUCAGUCUUUAGCAUAAGGUAGGAACUUAGUGUAGGAGACAGGUAGAUCUAGAUAAGAUUUGUUAUUUUGGGAGGGGGGAGUAGUAAAUAGAAUAAAUUACAUUAGGAAUAAUUUAAGGUAAUUAAG